GUCCUUAGUUACCAGCACGUUAUGGUGGCACUCUAAGGAGACUGCCGGUGACAAACCGGAGGAAGGUGGGGAUGACGUCAAGUCAUCAUGGCCCUUACGGCCUGGGCUACACACGUGCUACAAUGGUCGGUACAAAGGGUUGCCAAGCCGCGAGGUGGAGCUAAUCCCAUAAAACCGAUCGUAGUCCGGAUCGCAGUCUGCAACUCGACUGCGUGAAGUCGGAAUCGCUAGUAAUCGUGAAUCAGAAUGUCACGGUGAAUACGUUCCCGGGCCUU
This 275-nucleotide ribosomal RNA is filed under the name uncultured Pseudomonas sp. Its description in RNAcentral is "partial 16S ribosomal RNA". It matches the Rfam family "Bacterial small subunit ribosomal RNA", at positions 1107 to 1382 of the family's 1533-position model. Lineage: Bacteria; Pseudomonadati; Pseudomonadota; Gammaproteobacteria; Pseudomonadales; Pseudomonadaceae. The record is from RNAcentral.